This 72-nucleotide transfer RNA is filed under the name Leptolyngbya sp. PCC 7375. RNAcentral's name for it is "tRNA-Gln". It matches the Rfam family "tRNA". From Rfam's summary of the family: Transfer RNA (tRNA) molecules are approximately 80 nucleotides in length. Their secondary structure includes four short double-helical elements and three loops (D, anti-codon, and T loops). Further hydrogen bonds mediate the characteristic L-shaped molecular structure. tRNAs have two regions of fundamental functional importance: the anti-codon, which is responsible for specific mRNA codon recognition, and the 3' end, to which the tRNAs corresponding amino acid is attached (by aminoacyl-tRNA synthetases). tRNAs cope with the degeneracy of the genetic code in two manners: having more than one tRNA (with a specific anti-codon) for a particular amino acid; and 'wobble' base-pairing, i.e. permitting non-standard base-pairing at the 3rd anti-codon position. The record is from RNAcentral. Lineage: Bacteria; Bacillati; Cyanobacteriota; Cyanophyceae; Leptolyngbyales; Leptolyngbyaceae. RNAcentral also lists the same sequence under 20 other names.
UGGGGUGUGGCCAAGCGGUAAGGCAGCGGGUUUUGGUCCCGUCAUUCGUAGGUUCGAAUCCUACCACCCCAG